UGGCUCAGUGGAUAGAGCAUCAGCCCAUGUACUGAAGAGUCAUGGGUUCAAUUCCCAU
RNAcentral lists this transfer RNA (58 nucleotides) under Myotis davidii. The record is from Rfam by way of RNAcentral. Lineage: Eukaryota; Metazoa; Chordata; Mammalia; Chiroptera; Vespertilionidae.